This 483-nucleotide long non-coding RNA is filed under the name Sorghum bicolor (sorghum). RNAcentral describes it as "long non-coding RNA (SBIC_LNC003103)". The record is from RNAcentral. Lineage: Eukaryota; Viridiplantae; Streptophyta; Magnoliopsida; Poales; Poaceae.
AAAUAAGAUGCAGCAAUCAGCAGUGACUCAUUCCUAUGCAUAUCGGCAAUGGACAACCUGAUGCAUUGGUCUAGUUUUCUCUCACCCCACUAGAAUUCAUUUGAGUGGCUGACUCUCAAGAACCAAUCCUUCCAUCCCACGGUAGGACUGGGCCAAGAACGGAAGGUAUCCUUCCACAGAUCUAGAGAAAAAUUCUCGGCUCUGAAGGGGAUUCUGUUUGUUUCUGCGUUAAUAAGAUCAGUGGGAUCUGGAUUCCCUAACGGACCAAGACAUUGAAGGUGUGGCUGAUCGGUAGGGAUGACAAUUUUAUUGGACAGAUCCUAAUGUUUUUUUGGGCGAAAAGAAAAACAAAGAAAAAAAGUAGAAAGAAUGUUCAGUAAAAUAAAUUGCAGAUGAACAAGGAUGUGGUAAAGGUACGAGAAAUAGGGUCAUGAACUAACCUCAGGAACAGCGAAGUUGAUGGCCAUCUCCUCGCGAGAAGGA